RNAcentral lists this ribosomal RNA (594 nucleotides) under uncultured bacterium. RNAcentral's name for it is "bacterial SSU rRNA". It matches the Rfam family "Bacterial small subunit ribosomal RNA", at positions 247 to 832 of the family's 1533-position model. The record is from RNAcentral.
AGUUGGUGGGGUAGCAGCCUACCAAGGCAACGAUCAGUAGCCGGCCUGAGAGGGUGGACGGCCACACUGGGACUGAGACACGGCCCAGACUCCUACGGGAGGCAGCAGUGGGGAAUAUUGCGCAAUGGGGGAAACCCUGACGCAGCGACGCCGCGUGAGCGAAGAAGGCCUUAGGGUCGUAAAGCUCUGUUGUAAGGGACGAAUGUUUGUCUGGCGAACAGUCAGAUAAAGUGACGGUACCUUACCAGCAAGCCCCGGCUAACCACGUGCCAGCAGCCGCGGUAAGACGUAGGGGGCGAGCGUUGUCCGGAAUUACUGGGCGUAAAGAGCACGUAGGCGGAUAAUUAAGUCAGAUGUGAAAGACCGGGGCCCAACCUCGGGGUUGCAUCUGAAACUGGAUAUCUUGAGGGCAGGAGAGGAAAGUGGAAUUCCUGGUGUAGCGGUGAAAUGCGUAGAAAUCAGGAGGAAUACCAGUGGCGAAGGCGACUUUCUGGACUGACCCUGACGCUGAGGUGCGAAAGCGUGGGUAGCAAACAGGAUUAGAUACCCUGGUAGUCCACGCUGUAAACGAUGGAUACUAGGUGUGGGAGGUAU